RNAcentral lists this small RNA (752 nucleotides) under Pongo abelii (Sumatran orangutan). RNAcentral's name for it is "retained intron". Lineage: Eukaryota; Metazoa; Chordata; Mammalia; Primates; Hominidae. The record is from RNAcentral.
GAGCAGGUCUCCAGGGGAGCGAUGGCAGCCGGUGGUCUGAGUCGCUCCGAGCGCAAAGCGGCUGAGCGGGUCCGGAGGUUGCGGGAGGAGCAGCAGAGGGAGCGCCUCCGCCAGGUACGCCGCCGCCGCUCCCCGGCCCGGCCAUGCCCGGCCCGCGCCGCCGCUCACCGCCUGCCUGCCCGCAGGUGUCGCGCAUCCUGAGGAAGGCGGCGGCGGAGCGCAGCGCCGAGGAGGGCCGGCUGCUGGCCGAGAGCGCGGACCUGGUAACGGAGCUGCAGGGCCGGAGCCGGCGGCGCGAGGGCUUGAAGCGGCGGCAGGAGGAGGUGUGCGACGACCCGGAGGAGCUGCGGGGGAAGGUCCGGGAGCUGGCCAGCGCCGUCCGGAACGCCAAAUACCUGGUCGUCUACACAGGCGCGGGAAUCAGCACGGCAGCGUCUAUCCCAGACUACCGGGGCCCUAAUGGAGUGUGGACACUGCUUCAGAAAGGGAGAAGCGUUAGUGCUGCGGACCUGAGUGAGGCCGAGCCAACCCUCACCCACAUGAGCAUCACCCGUUUGCAUGAGCAGAAACUGGUAAGAGCCCUGGGUGGCUGGUACACUUGCCAGGGACCAGGCAGAGCACCUUGGUGCCUAGUGGGCAGCUGCAUCCUCCCUCUGUCUGCCAGUUGACUCCCAUGAUGAGCACCCACCAAGUGGGUUAGGCCCCGGGUUUGAUCCUCCCAUGCUUGACUCUCCAGGACAGAAGGGGAGCAC